GUGCGACGUGAAAGUUGCACCACAGAAGUCCCUUGAAACAGGGUAAGUUUGAUCCGAAACCUUAUUGCCACCUUCUCGGUGCAAGAGGAGUAAUUUUUUUGUGCUAAGCGAGAAUGAAAGCCUAACUAA
Molecule: non-coding RNA, 129 nt
Filed under: Candidatus Hamiltonella defensa 5AT (Acyrthosiphon pisum)
Lineage: Bacteria; Pseudomonadati; Pseudomonadota; Gammaproteobacteria; Enterobacterales; Enterobacteriaceae
Source: RNAcentral